CACUUAUCUUAUGUAAUGAGG
This 21-nucleotide microRNA is filed under the name Panagrellus redivivus. Its description in RNAcentral is "prd-miR-7913-3p". The record is from miRBase by way of RNAcentral. Lineage: Eukaryota; Metazoa; Nematoda; Chromadorea; Rhabditida; Panagrolaimidae.